This is a long non-coding RNA of Microtus oregoni (creeping vole), 488 nucleotides long. RefSeq lists it as uncharacterized. The record is from RefSeq and is a predicted model, not a curated record. The transcript is spliced from 3 exons. NCBI's taxonomy places the organism in Eukaryota, Metazoa, Chordata, Mammalia, Rodentia, Cricetidae.
UUCCAGUGCCUUGCAUGCCCGGCUCCUCUAGCUGCAUGCUGGCCUCGUGGCAGGCGUCCUGCUGGGGGGACUCUGGGUGGUUCUGGCUGGGGGCAGUAAGCAGCUGGAAAGGGUCCUGCCCCACCUCACACACUGGGGAGGAGCCGUGUAGGAGACCUGAGAACUGCUCCGGGACCUGCCCGUCCUGCCCCUCCACAGAGUCCUGGCUCCGGCUGCCGCUGCUCCGCCUGUGGUCUUGGAGUGGACAAAGAGAAAUAAAAAAUUAAACGUGGUCCGUGGGUAUGAAUAACAUCUGGUGGAAAUUCUCCUGUGCCACAGGCCCAGCAUCCCUGCCCUCCAAGACCGAGGGCCCUGAGAAAGAGCAGCAGGUAUCUGUGGACACUGAGGCCGGGGCACACACAGACGCUCUGCUGGGGAAGGUGGAUGUCCCACCUCUCCGAGGAUGGCUGAAGCUUAACAGAGCUGAUGCUGCGGCCUGGGGACGACAG